UCCCCUAUCUCAGAAAACAUUGUAUUGUCAUUGAAUGAAGAUUAUAUUGACCCAAAUGACAACGAGUUAGAACUUCAUAACGGGGACGAACUGGCAGUCAUCCCACCAAUCAGUGGAGGAUAAACCAAUGCACACACAGAUAAUCCACGGAAACUUGAGAAGAUGAAUCACAUAGAUAUCACAGAGGAAAAGCUCAACUUGGAUCGUAUCACAGCCCUGGUCACUGCGCCCUCGUGUGGAGCGGUAUCAGUCUUCAUGGGAACAACGCGGGACAACUUUGACAACAAGCGUGUUGUAAAACUGGAGUAUGAGGCCUACGUUCCCAUGGCAAAGAAGAAAAUGGUGGAAGUUUGUGACCAGAUCCGAGCUCAGUGGCAGGUUGAACACAUCGCCAUUGUCCACAGACUUGGUGUUGUUCCUGUCACCGAGUCCAGCAUCAUCAUCGCGGUCUCCUCCCCACAUCGGAAGGAGUCGCUGACUGCCGUCUCCUAUGCCAUUGAUACCCUCAAGGCCACUGUGCCCAUCUGGAAGAAGGAAAUCUAUGAUGACCACAGUUCGGACUGGAAAGCUAACAAGGAGUGUGCAUGGGCUACACCAAACAAACAAUUAUAAUAUCAGAUCACUAUAAUAUUAUAACAAUACCCAGGGACUUUGCUGGAGACAAAUGGCAUUAGAACAUUUUUAUGAUUUUAUCAAAUCUUUAUGACUAUCACUGAUGGGUAAACUGUUGUGUGAAAUGAUCACACAACUGUAAUGUUAUGUUUUUAUGCAAAAUAUUUUAUAAUACCAGUCUGCUUUCCUCCCACAUUAAGGUGACACGCCAUGAUAUCACAUGAAUACUGCUAAAAGCGGCAUUAAGUCCAGCUCACUAACUCAGUAUACAUAUUAGGCAAACAAAAAUUACUUUGAUUAAUUCUCACUGGGAAUACUCCUGAGGUUUGAAAACAGGAUGUCUCAUUAUAUGUACUGGUAUGGAUGUGUCUCAUAUUUAAUGUAAGUUUUGUUUGUUGACAGCUAGUGAAGCCAUUUACUGGUGUAUUUAAUCUGAUGGCAAGGUUUUGCACAGUGAUAAGAAAUCAGAUUAUUCACCCACAUUUGUUGUGUAUACCGAAUUGUUAUACCUCUAUUAAGAAUCUGUGAAUUUCAUUGGUUAAUCCACAUCACAUGAUGAAACAAUAUAUUUCAAUGCUGACCUAAGUUGGCUAACAAUAGAAAACUGACCCAAAAAUGUUUACUAUUGACCUGUCACGUGAUCAAUAUUGAUUAUUUUUUUCAAGAAAACAACUUAUUGGUAAGUGGUAAUAUAUGGUUCGCUGAUCUUUCUGAAAAAGAUCUCGUU
Molecule: unclassified non-coding RNA, 1339 nt
Filed under: Haliotis rufescens (red abalone)
Lineage: Eukaryota; Metazoa; Mollusca; Gastropoda; Lepetellida; Haliotidae
Description: molybdopterin synthase catalytic subunit-like, transcript variant X1
Source: RNAcentral